AGUGAACGCUGGCGGUAGGCCUAACACAUGCAAGUCGAACGGCAGCACAGUAAGAGCUUGCUCUUACGGGUGGCGAGUGGCGGACGGGUGAGGAAUACAUCGGAAUCUACUUUUUCGUGGGGGGUAACGUAGGGAAACUUACGCUAAUACCGCAUACGACCUACGGGUGAAAGCAGGGGAUCUUCGGACCUUGCGCGAUUGAAUGAGCCGAUGUCGGAUUAGCUAGUUGGCGGGGUAAAGGCCCACCAAGGCGACGAUCCGUAGCUGGUCUGAGAGGAUGAUCAGCCACACUGGAACUGAGACACGGUCCAGAAUCCUAAGGGAGGAAGCAGUGGGGAAUAUUGGAAAAUGGGCGCAAGCCUGAACCAGCCAUACCGCGUGGGUGAAGAAGGACUUCGGGUUGUAAAGCCCUUUUGUUGGGAAAGAAAAGCAGCAGGUUAAUACCCCGCUGUUCUGAAGGUACCAAAAGAAUAAGCACCGGCUAACUUCGUG
RNAcentral lists this ribosomal RNA (492 nucleotides) under uncultured bacterium. RNAcentral describes it as "partial 16S ribosomal RNA". It matches the Rfam family "Bacterial small subunit ribosomal RNA", at positions 29 to 507 of the family's 1533-position model. The record is from RNAcentral.